ACUUGGAAACAGGGGCUAAUACCGCAGAACCAUAGUUACCGCAUGGUAACUAUGUAAAGAGGUGGCUAUACUACCGCUUUUGGAUGGGCCCGCGGCGCAUUAGCUAGUUGGUAGGGUAAAGGCUUACCAAGGCAAUGAUGCGUAGCCGAAUUGAGAGGUUGAUCGGCCACAUUGGGACUGAGACACGGCCCAAACUCCUACGGGAGGCAGCAGUAGGGAAUCUUCCACAAUGGGCGAAAGCCUGAUGGAGCAACGCCGCGUGGGUGAAGAAGGUCUUCGGAUCGUAAAACCCUGUUGUUAGAGAAGAAAGUGCGUGAGAGUAACUGUUCACGUUUCGACGGUAUCUAACCAGAAAGCCACGGCUAACUACGUGCCAGCAGCCGCGGUAAUACGUAGGUGGCAAGCGUUAUCCGGAUUUAUUGGGCGUAAAGGGAACGCAGGCGGUCUUUUAUGUCUGAUGUGAAAGCCUUCGGCUUAACCGGAGUAGUGCAUUGGAAACUGGGAGACUUGAGUGCAGAAGAGGGGAGUGGAACUCCAUGUGUAGCGGUGAAAUGCGUAGAUAUAUGGAAGAACACCAGUGGCGAAAGCGGCUCUCUGGUCUGUAACUGACGCUGAGGUUCGAAAGCGUGGGUAGCAAACAGGAUUAGAUACCCUGGU
RNAcentral lists this ribosomal RNA (657 nucleotides) under uncultured bacterium. RNAcentral's name for it is "bacterial SSU rRNA". It matches the Rfam family "Bacterial small subunit ribosomal RNA", at positions 148 to 791 of the family's 1533-position model. The record is from RNAcentral.